This 527-nucleotide ribosomal RNA is filed under the name Penicillium spinulosum. RNAcentral's name for it is "eukaryotic LSU rRNA". The stretch from base 161 to 314 matches the Rfam family "5.8S ribosomal RNA". The record is from RNAcentral. Lineage: Eukaryota; Fungi; Ascomycota; Eurotiomycetes; Eurotiales; Aspergillaceae.
GGCUCUGGGUCACCUCCCACCCGUGUUUAUUGUACCUUGUUGCUUCGGUGCGCCCGCCUCACGGCCGCCGGGGGGCUUCUGCCCCCGGGUCCGCGCGCACCGGAGACACCAUUGAACUCUGUCUGAAGAUUGCAGUCUGAGCAUAAACUAAAUAAGUUAAAACUUUCAACAACGGAUCUCUUGGUUCCGGCAUCGAUGAAGAACGCAGCGAAAUGCGAUAACUAAUGUGAAUUGCAGAAUUCAGUGAAUCAUCGAGUCUUUGAACGCACAUUGCGCCCCCUGGUAUUCCGGGGGGCAUGCCUGUCCGAGCGUCAUUGCUGCCCUCAAGCACGGCUUGUGUGUUGGGCUCCGUCCCCCCGGGGACGGGCCCGAAAGGCAGCGGCGGCACCGAGUCCGGUCCUCGAGCGUAUGGGGCUUUGUCACCCGCUCUGUAGGCCCGGCCGGCGCCAGCCGACAACCCAUCAUCCUUUUCAGGUUGACCUCGGAUCAGGUAGGGAUACCCGCUGAACUUAAGCAUAUCAAUAAGC